Molecule: long non-coding RNA, 1229 nt
Filed under: Apteryx haastii (Great spotted kiwi)
Lineage: Eukaryota; Metazoa; Chordata; Aves; Apterygiformes; Apterygidae
Description: lncRNA (ENSAHAG00000009067.1)
Source: RNAcentral
CCUGGGGUUUGGGUUGCAAUUCCCCCAUUUGGGGGUUGCAAUUCCCUGGUUUGGGGGUUGCAAUCCCCUGGGGUUUGGGUUGCAAUUCCCAGGUUUUGGGUUGCAAUUCCCAGGUUUGGGGGUUGCGAUCCCUUGGGGUUUGGGUUGCAAUUCCCAGGUUUUGGGUUGCAAUUCCCAGGUUUGGGGGUUGCAAUUCCCCAGUUUCUGGGUUGCAAUUCCCAGGUUUUGGGUUGCAAUUCCCUGGGUUUGGGGGUUGCAAUUCCCCAGUUUCCGGGUUGCAAUUCCCCCAUUCGGGGGUUGCGAUUCCCUGUUUUUUUGGGUUGCAACCCCCCGGUUUUGGGUGCAAUCCCCCCGUCACCCCCGUCACCCCCGUGUCCGUCCGUCCCCCCAGUGCGGCUUCUUCAAGCGGGACUACAGGGAGCGGCUGGACCAGGACGCGGCCGGCGCCGGGACGGGGGACGACGGGGACAACGGGGACGACGAUAACGGGGACGAUGAUAACGGGGGCGAUAACGGGGACAAUGAUGGGGACACUGGGGACGCCCCCGCGGGGGACACGGACGGGGACCUCGGCCGUGGGGGGCAGGAGCCGCUGCAGGGGGGCGAAGGAGCCCCGUGAGCCGGCGACCGCCCGGCCUUCAUCCUCCAUCUCCAUCCUCCUCCAUCCCCAUCCUCCAUCUCUCCAUCUCCAUCUCCCCAGCCUUCAUCCUCCAUCUCCAUCCUCUAUCUCCAUCAUCUCCAUCCUCCAUCCCUCCUUCUUCCAUCCUCUUUCUCCAUCCAUCCAUCCUCCAUCUCCAUCCUCCUUCCAUCCCUCCAUCCCUCUCCAUCUCUCCGUCCUCCAUCUCUCCAUCCUUCUUCCAUUCCUCCAUCUCCAUCUCUCCAUCCUCCAUCUCUCUGUCCUCCAUCUCCAUCUCUCCAUCUCUCCAUCCUCCAUCUCUCCAUCCUCCAUCUCCAUCCCUCCAUCCUCCUCCCUCUCCCCCACGGUCUCACAUUAAAGCGGCUCCCGGCCACGCAAGGGGCCCAGGCGUCCGGGCGGGAGAAGCCACCAGCCGCCUCCUGCCUCUGCUUUUAUUGGGCGGCGCCGCGGGGGCCCCGGGCUGCAGCCGGUCGCGGCGGCGCCGGCGGUUCGGGGCGGAAAAGGGCCCUUUUGGGGGCCGCUGCGGAGGCCCCGAGGUGGCUCCAGGGGGCCGGACGGGCGCUCGGGGCUCCCGCCGUGGGGCCGGGUGCUG